AUGUAAAUUCGUUUCGCAGAAAUUUAGAGAUUUUCGAUCUCCUCGAAAGAAAAUGAGUUCGAUCAGCAACACCGGUCUCUGCAGCACUAGGAUAAAGACCUUCUUUUUACCCACGAUCUCGACGAAUUACUUCUGAAUAAAUUCAGAAAUCACAUGGAAGAACCAUAG
This 168-nucleotide ribosomal RNA is filed under the name Triticum aestivum (bread wheat). RNAcentral's name for it is "partial small subunit ribosomal RNA". The record is from RNAcentral. Lineage: Eukaryota; Viridiplantae; Streptophyta; Magnoliopsida; Poales; Poaceae.